RNAcentral lists this ribosomal RNA (1370 nucleotides) under uncultured bacterium. RNAcentral's name for it is "bacterial SSU rRNA". It matches the Rfam family "Bacterial small subunit ribosomal RNA", at positions 28 to 1381 of the family's 1533-position model. The record is from RNAcentral.
GAUGAACGCUGGCGGCGUGCCUAAUACAUGCAAGUCGAGCGAACGGACGAGAAGCUUGCUUCUCUGAUGUUAGCGGCGGACGGGUGAGUAGCACGUGGAUAACCUACCUAUAAGACUGGGAUAACUUCGGGAAACCGGAGCUAAUACCGGAUAAUAUUUUGAACCGCAUGGUUCAAAAGUGAAAGACGGUCUUGCUGCCACUUAUAGAUGGAUCCGCGCUGCAUUAGCUAGUUGGUAAGGUAACGGCUUACCAAGGCAACGAUGCAUAGCCGACCUGAGAGGGUGAUCGGCCACACUGGAACUGAGACACGGUCCAGACUCCUACGGGAGGCAGCAGUAGGGAAUCUUCCGCAAUGGGCGAAAGCCUGACGGAGCAACGCCGCGUGAGUGAUGAAGGUCUUCGGAUCGUAAAACUCUGUUAUUAGGGAAGAACAUAUGUGUAAGUAACUGUGCACAUCUUGACGGUACCUAAUCAGAAAGCCACGGCUAACUACGUGCCAGCAGCCGCGGUAAUACGUAGGUGGCAAGCGUUAUCCGGAAUUAUUGGGCGUAAGCGCGCGUAGGCGGUUUUUUAGUCUGAUGUGAAAGCCCACGGCUCAACCGUGGAGGGUCAUUGGAAACUGGAAAACUUGAGUGCAGAAGAGGAAAGUGGAAUUCCAUGUGUAGCGGUGAAAUGCGCAGAGAUAUGGAGGAACACCAGUGGCGAAGGCGACUUUCUGGUCUGUAACUGACGCUGAUGUGCGAAAGCGUGGGGAUCAAACAGGAUUAGAUACCCUGGUAGUCCACGCCGUAAACGAUGAGUGCUAAGUGUUAGGGGGUUUCCGCCCCUUAGUGCUGCAGCUAACGCAUUAAGCACUCCGCCUGGGGAGUACGACCGCAAGGUUGAAACUCAAAGGAAUUGACGGGGACCCGCACAAGCGGUGGAGCAUGUGGUUUAAUUCGAAGCAACGCGAAGAACCUUACCAAAUCUUGACAUCCUUUGACAACUCUAGAGAUAGAGCUUUCCCCUUCGGGGGACAAGGUGGCAGGUGGUGCAUGGUUGUCGUCAGCUCGUGUCGUGAGGUGUUGGGUUAAGUCCCGCAACGAGCGCAACCCUUAAGCUUAGUUGCCAUCAUUAAGUUGGGCACUCUAAGUUGACUGCCGGUGACAAACCGGAGGAAGGUGGGGAUGACGUCAAAUCAUCAUGCCCCUUAUGAUUUGGGCUACACACGUGCUACAAUGGACAAUACAAAGGGCAGCGAAACCGUGAGGUCAAGCAAAUCCCAUAAAGUUGUUCUCAGUUCGGAUUGUGGUCUGCAACUCGACUACAUGAAGCUGGAAUCGCUAGUAAUCGUAGAUCAGCAUGCUACGGUGAAUACGUUCCCGGGUCU